CAGUCGCCGCGGGAAUACGAAGGGUGCAAGCGUUACUCGGAAUUACUGGGCGUAAAGCGUGCGUAGGUGGUGGUUUAAGUCCGUUGUGAAAGCCCUGGGCUCAACCUGGGAAUUGCAGUGGAUACUGGGUCACUAGAGUGUGGUAGAGGAUAGUGGAAUUUCCGGUGUAGCAGUGAAAUGCGUAGAGAUCGGAAGGAACAUCUGUGGCGAAGGCGACUAUCUGGGCCAACACUGACACUGAGGCACGAAAGCGUGGGGAGCAAACAGGAUUAGAUACCCGGGUAGUCCCUGUCUCUUAUAA
This 301-nucleotide ribosomal RNA is filed under the name uncultured bacterium. Its description in RNAcentral is "partial 16S ribosomal RNA". It matches the Rfam family "Bacterial small subunit ribosomal RNA", at positions 509 to 809 of the family's 1533-position model. The record is from RNAcentral.